GAAUAACUUUUCUCAGCACUGUGCCUCCUGGUCUGAAAGUAAAGAUGACAACUCACCAGGUCAUUGGGAUACUACUGGUUGUAAAACAACAGUUCAGGAUAGCCAUACCAUAUGUCAGUGUGACCAUCUCUCCUACUUUGCUGUGUUACUGGAAUCAAGCAUCAGCACAUCCUCUUCAGCAGGGCCGACUGAGACUUGUGAACAUUUGUGGUGCCAGCUUGAUGAAAGUGAACACUGCACGGCUGCAGUUGGAAUAGUGAACAAAUUCAUCCAGAGAUGUACCAACCACACUCCGGACAUAGCUUCGAUCAUCUCAGGUUUGGAAAACAAAUUACUGAUUGGAGAUUGUGAAGAGGACAGACAAGUUAUUGAAACAGAGAAUGUAAUAUUCCACAUUCGAGAUACAGAAGUUGAAACUUUCCCAGGUCUCCAGUUCCCUAAUGCAGAUACGGUGAGUGUAUGUGGAAAUCCUCUCAAUGCAGCCCCCCUCAAUACUGCCCCCUCAUUUUUUGUGCUCAAGUCUUAAAGUGGAACAAAAGGCCAAAAGUUUGAAACUUCUUCAGCAUGUUACUCUUGAAGGGAAGAGGGAAAGGGCAUUGCAGAUUCUUGU
This is a non-coding RNA of Chiloscyllium plagiosum (whitespotted bambooshark), 610 nucleotides long. The record is from RefSeq and is a predicted model, not a curated record. NCBI's taxonomy places the organism in Eukaryota, Metazoa, Chordata, Chondrichthyes, Orectolobiformes, Hemiscylliidae.